This is a non-coding RNA of Acanthosepion pharaonis, 111 nucleotides long. Lineage: Eukaryota; Metazoa; Mollusca; Cephalopoda; Sepiida; Sepiidae. The record is from the annotation of a GenBank genome assembly.
CAGCCAUAUAGUGUUAAAACACUGGUUCCAGUAUGAUCACUGAAGUUAAGCAAUGUCAAGCCUGGUCAGUACUUAGAUGGAUGACUGCUUGGAAAUAGCAGCUACUGUAAG